This 274-nucleotide ribosomal RNA is filed under the name uncultured bacterium. RNAcentral's name for it is "partial 16S ribosomal RNA". It matches the Rfam family "Bacterial small subunit ribosomal RNA", at positions 523 to 796 of the family's 1533-position model. The record is from RNAcentral.
ACACGUACUGUGCGAACGUUAUUCGGAAUCACUGGGCUUAAAGGGUACGUAGGCGGCCUAUCAAGUCAGGUGGGAAAUCCCACGGCUCAACCGUGGAACUGCGCUUGAAACUGAUAGGCUUGAGAGAGACAGGGGUGGGUGGAACUUCUCGUGGAGCGGUGAAAUGUGUUGAUAUGAGAAGGAACACCGGUGGCGAAGGCGACACACUGGGUCUUUUCUGACGCUGAGGUACGAAAGCUAGGGGAGCGAACGGGAUUAGAUACCCUAGUAGUCC